GUGGGGGGGGGGGAGAGGAGACACCAUGAAGAGGAAAGGCGGAUACUGGAGGAAACCGUGACCCCACUGACCCCUCGCACCUCAGGUUUAUCAUCCUGUAUGAUGACAGAGGCUCCGUCCCUCACCCAGCCCUCAGCCCCACAUGACACCAUUGUUCUCUCCUUGGCUGACUGGGAAAGGAAACAGGAAAUGUUGGAGAAACAGGCACAGACAAACCAGAGUAGCAGACUUACACACAGCCCUGAUCAAGUAAUCACCACCGUCACGGCUCAGCAGAUGGUCC
Molecule: long non-coding RNA, 283 nt
Organism: Cyprinus carpio (common carp)
Lineage: Eukaryota; Metazoa; Chordata; Actinopteri; Cypriniformes; Cyprinidae
Exons: 3
Source: RefSeq, a predicted model, not a curated record